GAACGCACAUUGCGCCCGCCAGUAUUCUGGCGGGCAUGCCUGUUCGAGCGUCAUUUCAACCAUCAAGCCCCCGGCUUGUGUUGGGGCCCUGCGGCUGCCGCAGGCCCUUAAAAACAGUGGCGGGCUCGCUGUCACACCGAGCGUAGUAAUACAUCUCGCUUUGGACGUGCAGCGGGUUCUUGCCGUGAAACACCCCCCUUCUCAAGGUUGACCUCGGAUCAGGUAGGAAUACCCGCUGAACUUAAG
This 246-nucleotide unclassified non-coding RNA is filed under the name uncultured Sordariales. RNAcentral describes it as "sequence contains 5.8S rRNA gene". The stretch from base 1 to 53 matches the Rfam family "5.8S ribosomal RNA", at positions 102 to 154 of the family's 154-position model. The record is from RNAcentral. Lineage: Eukaryota; Fungi; Ascomycota; Sordariomycetes; Sordariales.